CAGCCGCCGCGGUAACACGGAGGGGGCUAGCGUUGUUCGGAAUUACUGGGCGUAAAGCGCACGUAGGCGGAUCGAUCAGUCAGGGGUGAAAUCCCAGGGCUCAACCCUGGAACUGCCUUUGAUACUGUCGAUCUGGAGUAUGGAAGAGGUGAGUGGAAUUCCGAGUGUAGAGGUGAAAUUCGUAGAUAUUCGGAGGAACACCAGUGGCGAAGGCGGCUCACUGGUCCAUUACUGACGCUGAGGUGCGAAAGCGUGGGGAGCAAACAGGAUUAGAUACCCGCGUAGUCCCUGUCUCUUAUAA
Molecule: ribosomal RNA, 301 nt
Filed under: uncultured bacterium
Lineage: Bacteria
Description: partial 16S ribosomal RNA
Rfam family: Bacterial small subunit ribosomal RNA
Source: RNAcentral